Cydia splendana is the source of this 210-nucleotide long non-coding RNA. RefSeq lists it as uncharacterized. NCBI's taxonomy places the organism in Eukaryota, Metazoa, Arthropoda, Insecta, Lepidoptera, Tortricidae. The transcript has 3 exons. The record is from RefSeq and is a predicted model, not a curated record.
AAUUAAAGUUACAUAAUAAUAAAAAGUAAUUUUACUACAAUGGUGUCCAUCAACACAUUCGCCUUUACUUUGGUGUUGCUGAUAAGAUUUAACCACGCAGAGCUGACUUUGGAAGAUUGGCCCGAAGAUUGUAAAGGAAAGUCGUACUGUCGCAUUAAACCAAGGCACUCGUACCCGGAAGAUAAAUUUGAGGAGCUUUUAAAAGGACAG